RNAcentral lists this ribosomal RNA (500 nucleotides) under uncultured Glomeromycotina. Its description in RNAcentral is "partial small subunit ribosomal RNA". It matches the Rfam family "Eukaryotic small subunit ribosomal RNA", at positions 591 to 1092 of the family's 1831-position model. The record is from RNAcentral. Lineage: Eukaryota; Fungi; Glomeromycota.
CCAAUAGCGUAUAUUAAAGUUGUUGCAGUUAAAAAGCUCGUAGUUGAAUUUCGGGAUCGACGGGUCGGUCGCGCCUCUGGUGUGUACUGGCCCUGUCGGUUUCUCCCUUCUGACGAACCACGGUGUCAUUAAUUUGGUGUCGUGGGAAAUCAGGACUGUUACUUUGAAAAAAUUAGAGUGUUUAAAGCAGGCAUUCGCUUGAAUACAUUAGCAUGGAAUAAUGAAAUAGGACGUUUGAUCUUAUUUUGUUGGUUUCUAAGAUCGACGUAAUGAUUAAUAGGGAUAGUUGGGGGCAUUAGUAUUCAAUUGUCAGAGGUGAAAUUCUUGGAUUUAUUGAAGACUAACUACUGCGAAAGCAUUUGCCAAGGAUGUUUUCAUUAAUCAAGAACGAAAGUUAGGGGAUCGAAGACGAUCAGAUACCGUCGUAGUCUUAACCAUAAACUAUGCCGACUAGGGAUCGGAUGAUGUUAAUUUUUUAAUGACUCAUUCGGCGCCUUACG